GAUGAACGCUGGCGGCGUGCCUAAUACAUGCAAGUCGAACGCUGAAGGAAGGAGCUUGCUCUUUCCGGAUGAGUUGCGAACGGGUGAGUAACGCGUAGGUAACCUGCCUGGUAGCGGGGGAUAACUAUUGGAAACGAUAGCUAAUACCGCAUAACAGUAGAUGUUGCAUGAUAUCUACUUAAAAGGUGCAAUUGCACCACUACCAGAUGGACCUGCGUUGUAUUAGCUAGUUGGUGAGGUAACGGCUCACCAAGGCGACGAUACAUAGCCGACCUGAGAGGGUGAUCGGCCAAACUGGGACUGAGGCACGGCCCAGCCUCCUACGGGAGGCAGCAGUAGGGAAUCUUCGGCAAUGGACGGAAGUCUGACCGAGCAACGCCGCGUGAGAGAAGAAGGUUUUCGGAUCGUAAAGAUCUGUUGUAAGAGAAGAACGAGUGUGAGAGUGGAAAGUUCACACUGUGACGGUAUCUUACCAGAAAGGGACGGCUAACUACGUG
RNAcentral lists this ribosomal RNA (497 nucleotides) under uncultured bacterium. RNAcentral describes it as "partial 16S ribosomal RNA". It matches the Rfam family "Bacterial small subunit ribosomal RNA", at positions 28 to 507 of the family's 1533-position model. The record is from RNAcentral.